UUUAAGUUUUAUUCUUGCUUUUUCGUUCAAUUCUUAUUUGUUCUAUAUGUAAGUUUUUGCGUUAAUUUUCUUUUGGUCCUAGAUGGGUCAUGGAUUUAUAAUAUAAUUCUCAUUAGUUAUUAUUGGUUGGUCAAGUAUCCUUGUAUUUAGCAAUAUAUUGUAGUUUCGGUUAAAUUUUGUGCCAGCAGCCGCGGUUAUACCUUGGAGGCAUUUGAAUGUGUUUGGCAAUAGGUAGUUAUAUUAUUUAGUUUGUUUGAUUUUGAUUUUGUGUUGAGUUGUUAGGUGAAAUUUUUAUUUCUGUUGUUUUUCUUAUAGUUAUUUGGAAGCUAUGAAAUUCUUUUUGUAAACUAGGAUUAGAUACCCUAUUAUUUUGGAAUGUAAAUUGUUGUUUUGCUUGAGUAGUAUUAGUUAUGUUCUUGAAACUUAAAGAAUUUGGCGGUAUCUCAUUCCGUCCAGAGGAAUCUGUCUCGUUAUCGAUAGUCCACGUUGGACCUUACUUGGUUGCUUUGGUUUGUAUACCGCCGUUUAUUGAUUAUCUUUUUAGGGGUUAUAAAUUUUCUUGUUUCUUUAUUUUGAUUUAUUUCAGGUCAAGGUGCAGCUUGUUUCUAAGUGAAUGAUGGAUUACAUUGUUAUUUGUUUUAUUGGAUUGUUGAUUUUAAUGUCGGCAUGAAAUUGGAUUUGGUUGUAAUAAUUUGUAGAUUGUUAUUUUGAUAAUAGGUUCUGGGAUAUGUACACAUCGCCCGUCGCUCUCGUUUAUUUUGUUAAUGAGAUAAGUCGUAACAAAGUGGUUGUACCGGAAGGUGCGGCUGGAUUGAA
This 816-nucleotide non-coding RNA is filed under the name Cephalotermes rectangularis. The record is from RNAcentral. Lineage: Eukaryota; Metazoa; Arthropoda; Insecta; Blattodea; Termitidae.